AGGGAGUUUGAUCCUGGCUCAGGACGAACGCUGGCGGCGUGCUUAACACAUGCAAGUCGAACGAGGUUAUAGGAGAGCUUGCUCGAAUAUAGCCGAGUGGCGGACGGGUGAGUAACGCGUGAACAAUCUGUCUCAUACAGGGGAAUAACGCAUCGAAAGAUGUGCUAAUACCGCAUAGGACCACGGUAUCGCAUGGUACUGAGGUGAAAGGAGCAAUCCGGUAUGAGGUGAGUUCGCGUCUGAUUAGAUAGUUGGUGAGGUAACGGCCCACCAAGUCAACGAUCAGUAGCCGACCUGAGAGGGUGAUCGGCCACAUUGGGACUGAGACACGGCCCAGACUCCUACGGGAGGCAGCAGUGGGGAAUAUUGGGCAAUGGGCGAAAGCCUGACCCAGCAACGCCGCGUGAAGGAAGAAGGUUUUCGGAUCGUAAACUUCUGUCCUUGGUGAAGAGGAGAAGACGGUAGCCAAGGAGGAAGCCCCGGCUAACUACGUGCCAGCAGCCGCGGUAAUACGUAGGGGGCGAGCGUUGUCCGGAAUGAUUGGGCGUAAAGGGCGCGUAGGCGGCUUGUUAAGUCUGGAGUGAAAGUCCUGUUUUCAAGAUGGGAAUUGCUUUGGAUACUGAUGAGCUUGAGUGCAGGAGAGGUUAUCGGAAUUCCCGGUGUAGCGGUGAAAUGCGUAGAGAUCGGGAGGAACACCAGUGGCGAAGGCGGGUAACUGGACUGCAACUGACGCUGAGGCGCGAAAGUGUGGGGAGCAAACAGGAUUAGAUACCCUGGUAGUCCCCU
Molecule: ribosomal RNA, 786 nt
Filed under: uncultured Bacillota bacterium
Lineage: Bacteria; Bacillati; Bacillota
Description: bacterial SSU rRNA
Rfam family: Bacterial small subunit ribosomal RNA
Source: RNAcentral